RNAcentral lists this ribosomal RNA (850 nucleotides) under uncultured bacterium. Its description in RNAcentral is "bacterial SSU rRNA". It matches the Rfam family "Bacterial small subunit ribosomal RNA", at positions 53 to 873 of the family's 1533-position model. The record is from RNAcentral.
ACAUGCAGUCGAGCGGACAGAAGGGAGCUUGCUCCCGGAUGUUAGCGGCGGACGGGUGAGUAACACGUGGGUAACCUGCCUGUAAGACUGGGAUAACUCCGGGAAACCGGAGCUAAUACCGGAUAGUUCCUUGAACCGCAUGGUUCAAGGAUGAAAGACGGUUUCGGCUGUCACUUACAGAUGGACCCGCGGCGCAUUAGCUAGUUGGUGGGGUAAUGGCUCACCAAGGCGACGAUGCGUAGCCGACCUGAGAGGGUGAUCGGCCACACUGGGACUGAGACACGGCCCAGACUCCUACGGGAGGCAGCAGUAGGGAAUCUUCCGCAAUGGACGAAAGUCUGACGGAGCAACGCCGCGUGAGUGAUGAAGGUUUUCGGAUCGUAAAGCUCUGUUGUUAGGGAAGAACAAGUGCGAGAGUAACUGCUCGCACCUUGACGGUACCGAACCAGAAAGCCACGGCUAACUACGUGCCAGCAGCCGCGGUAAUACGUAGGUGGCAAGCGUUGUCCGGAAUUAUUGGGCGUAAAGGGCUCGCAGGCGGUUUCUUAAGUCUGAUGUGAAAGCCCCCGGCUCAACCGGGGAGGGUCAUUGGAAACUGGGAAACUUGAGUGCACAACAGAGAGUGGAAUUCCACGUGUAGCGGUGAAAUGCGUAGAGAUGUGGGAGGAACACCAGUGGCGAAUGCGACUCUCUGGUCUGUAACUGACACUCUAGGAGCGAAAGCGUGAGGGAGCGAACAGGAGUACAUACCCCUGGUAGUCUCCGCCGCUACACGAUGAGUUGCUGACUGUUGCGGGGGGGUUCUCCCCCCUUACUGCUGCAGCUACAGAGUAACAGUCCGCCAUGGAGG